CCUACGGGAGGCAGCAGUGGGGAAUAUUGCACAAUGGGGGAAACGCUGAUGCAGCGACGCCGCGUGAGUGAAGAAGUAUUUCGGUAUGUAAAGCUCUAUUAGCAGGGAAGAAGAAAGACGGUACCUGACUACGAAGCCCCGGCUAACUACGUGCCCGCAGGCGCGGUACUACGUAGGGGGCAAGCGUUAUCCGGAUUUACUGGGUGUAAAGGGAGCGUAGACGGAGAAGCAAGUCUGAAGUGAAAGCUCGUGGCUUAACCACGGGAGUGCUUUGGAAACUGUUUGACUAGAGUGCUGGAGAGGUAAGUGGAAUGCGUAGUGUAGCGGUGAAAUGCAUAGAUAUUAGGAGGAACACCAGUGGCGAAGGCAGCUUACUGGACAGUAACUGACGUUGAGGCUCGAAAGCGUGGGGAGCAAACAGGAUUAGAUACCCUUGUAGUC
Molecule: ribosomal RNA, 441 nt
Filed under: uncultured bacterium
Lineage: Bacteria
Description: partial 16S ribosomal RNA
Rfam family: Bacterial small subunit ribosomal RNA
Source: RNAcentral